RNAcentral lists this long non-coding RNA (1641 nucleotides) under Malus domestica (apple). RNAcentral's name for it is "long non-coding RNA (MDOM_LNC004302)". The record is from RNAcentral. Lineage: Eukaryota; Viridiplantae; Streptophyta; Magnoliopsida; Rosales; Rosaceae.
UAACCGUCCACCUAGGUAAGCAUAACUGGCGAUGCAUGUCGCAAGGGGACCGCAUUGCACAAUAUAAUUAUACUAGUUGAUAAGACAAGUGAUGUCAAUCAAUAAAUUAUUUCAUUAAAACUUAGUUGUAUGUAUCAUAUGUUGUAAUGUAGGGUGUAUGAUAUGCUGACGCUGUAAAAAAAUGUAACCUUUUUAAUAUUACUCAUAAUAGUAAGACUUACCAGUAUUAGGAUGUUAUCAGUGGAAUGAGAAUCCUCUCCAGAUCUUUUUUGUGAGCUAUUAUUUGUAUUUAAUUUUAAAUAUAAAAAAUUAAAAUAAUUUAUGACGGCAGUGAUUCACAUGAUCUUCACAAAGAGAAUCCAAAUAAUCUUAAUUUAUAUCAGUGUGUCUAGAUAACAUGAUCGAGCCCCUUUACUUUUACCCUAUUUAGUAUUUUACAUUUGAACCUGUAAAUAUUCGAUUUUUCUUUGGUGCAACCGAGCACCAAAUAUAGAUUUUUUUUCACUUUUAUAUAAUGAUAAAUAAAGGGCAAUUGGCAGAUUUGAAUUCCAUUCGGAUUGGUCAAAAAUCAUUUUAAAUUGUUUUAUUUAAAAUUAAACACAUAUAGUACUUAAUAAAAAUUAGUCGUACAAUAUACGAUAAACAGAUAUAAUGUAAGGACCUUUAUGAUCUUCACAAAAAAGAUCCAAAGGUUGUGUAGCUGUUUCAAAAGGAUAAUACUCACUUUUGAUUAGUUCAAUGAAAUUUUAAACAUGUUUUAUUGUUUUAAAAAAUAAUAAACAUAUUUAUUAAUGUUUGUUUUACUUUAAAAAAUAAGCAGCACUUGACAACAUUUGAUUGUGCUAAAUAAAAAAUGAGUGACCACUUAGUACUACAGUCUUAUGAUAUUUUUCUUCAUUUGAAAGUGAGAGGUUUUAAGUUCGAAUCUCGUGGAUGACGAAUUUGAUAUCAAAUUAGAUUGCUCACUAUGUGGCUUAGCCGAACUCUCAUUUCCUUUAAUGUAAAAAUAUUGAUGUAUUCAAAAAAAUAAAAAGUGACUAUAGAGGACACUCAAUCUCAGCUGUAUGAUUAAAUCAGACGGUAAGAAAAAUUCUGCAAGCAUACUCGGUUACAUUAAUUGAAGAAAAAAUGGGUAAAUAUUGGGCACCAACGUUAUAAAUACCCUCCACCAUGCACCCAACUCCCUCACACCAUCACAACCCACGUUACAAAUCCUCCUCCUCAUCAUAACCAUUCUGUUUUCCGCAUAAUAUCCAAAAACCUAUCAUGUCUGAAGAGAAACACCACCGCGGUCUCUUCCACCACCACAAGGAUGAAGACAAACCCUCAGACUACCCUCAGUCUGGCUACUCUGAUGAAGGACGUCCCGGCGGCCUCGGUGGUGGUUACGGCGACACCAAUGAUUAUUCUGGUGAAGGACGUACCGGCGGCCUAGGUGGUGGCUAUGGCGACACCAAUGCUUAUUCUGGUGAAGGACGUCCCGGCGGCUAUGGCGGCUAUAACGAGACCACUGCUUACUCUGAGGAAAGAGUUGAAAGACCCGGCGGUGGCCGGUACAGUGAGACUACUGCGGCAUAUGGCAGCACCACCACUCAUGAAUCUGAACUUGAUUACAAGAAGGAGGAGAAGCACCACAAGCAU